This is a long non-coding RNA of Ahaetulla prasina, 4490 nucleotides long. RefSeq lists it as uncharacterized. The record is from RefSeq and is a predicted model, not a curated record. Lineage: Eukaryota; Metazoa; Chordata; Lepidosauria; Squamata; Colubridae. The transcript has 3 exons.
CUCCAUUCCCACCCCACUCCAGGGGAAGGUUACUGCAAAAUCCCCAUUUUCUCCCAAUCAGCUGGGACUCGGGAGGCAGAGAAUAGAUGGGGGCGAGGCCAGUCAGAAUUUUCACUACCGGUUCUCCAAACUAUUCAAAAUUUCCGCUACCGGUUCUCCAGAACUGGUCAGAACCUGCUGAAACCCACCUCUGGUCGGGAGCUCUGAUCCAUGGUUUUCAUAGCCGGUUUGCUCAAAAGCUUCAGCCUAGCACAUCUGCCGAGCACUGAAGCUAGGAAAGCAGAAAUAAGAACUGGUAUCUUUUUUCUGCAAUGACGGCUAAUGGCCACUGUUACUUUUGGCCAUUCUCCAUGACUUGCCACAUUAAACUCUGCUUAUUUUAACUAUGUUCAAGAAGGGUUGGGUUUUGGGCUUGUGGAGGAAGAAACGGCAAUCUGAGGCUGACUUUAUGAAAAGCAGAGCUGAUGACUGUGGUGAGAUUAAUAGUUCAGCUCUUUAGAAUUCCUUUCCUCUCGAAGUGCUGGUCUCCAGAGGCGUGGAGCUCUGGGAGACAGGGGAGUAGCUCAGACCUUUGAAGGUUCAAAUACUUGCUUUCCUAAUCGCUUCCGGAAGUUCCUCAUUCAACUGCUUUUCAACUAUUAGAACCCUUUGGAUCAGUGUGUUAGACAGUACCUGUUCCAGGUUGGAUCUCUGUUUAACGGCGUCCACCGGGUUACUUCUUGUCCUGCCCUCUGUUGCUUUGAAGAACAAAAUCAAUCUCCUGUCCUCCGUGACAGCCACUCAGUUACGGGAAGACUGCUAUUGUAUUUGUAGGAAGGGUCAGCUCGAGUCUCCAUCCAGGAGAAACGAGAGUGUCACCAAGUGAAGAGAGAAGCCCACUACUUGAAAAGAAAGUUCCCUUUAUUGAUGACCAUAAGCAGCUACAACAAUCGGUUCUGGGCAGUGGAAGGUGGCAAUAGCAAACGGCUUCUGGAAAACCUUGCCAAGAAACUCCAGGUGGCUUCCAGGAACUGGGCCCAGCUGAAUGGAAGAGAAUGAAAAAAAGACGGAAUAGGAGAAGAAGCGAUUGUUUGUUGUAUUUUAAGAGGUAAUUUGCACUUGGUGAAGGUGGGAUGUUACUUUUUAUAUCUUUCUGUAUUAUAGUUUUUUCCCAAACGCCAUCACUCUGCUAAACAAAUAAUUCCCUCAACACUGUCAAAUUAUUUACUAAGUCUGCACUACUAUUAAUCUUCUCAUCGUUCCCAUCAACCAUCUCCUUCCACUUAUGACUGUAUGACUGUAACUUUGUUGCUGGUAUCCUUACGAUUUAUACUGAUAUUGUUUCCUGAUUGCUUAUUUGUACCCUAUGACUAUCAUUAAGUGUUAAAUUUGUACCUAUGACUGUCAUUAAGUGUUGUACCUUAUGAUUCUUGAUGAAGGUAUCUUUUCUUUUAUGUACCCUGAAAGCAUAUGCAUCAAGACAAAUUCCUUGUAUGUCCAAUCACACCUGGCCGAUAAAAAAUGUAUUCUAUAGUUCAGCUCCUACUGAGACAGUCCGUUCCAUUGGGGGACACUUCUUGCUGUGCAGAUUUCUGGCUGAAAUCACUUUGCAGUUGCUGUGGACUCCUGCCUCCUAGCUCUGACAUUCAGGCCCCUUUUGCAGGCUCCGCUGCAGGGAGUUGUCUUCCCACUCCUACCUUCCUUCUAUUUUUCCUAACCAAUGAAGGCACUGGGCCCCCCACCUUCUUUCUGACACUUUGAUGAUCUCAUGCUUACCAUUUAUGAACCUGCUGGACCACGCAGGGCCUAGAAAGGAGCCCAGAGAUGUGCCACUCCAGGUUUCUUUCCAGCUUGAUGAGGACUCGUUGUGAUGCACUCAGUUGUUGUUCAUGAAUGUUCAAUGACAUCUGUGUCUGCCCCAUACUAGGGGUUAUAUUCACUACUGACCACUGUAAGCCACACACCCACUAUUGAGAGGGUGAAUACAGAAUAGAAUACAGAAUAACAGAGUUGGAAGGGACCUUGGAGGUCUUCUAGUCCAAUCCCCUGCUCGAGCAAGAAAUCUUACAUCAUUUCAGACAAGUGGCUGGCCUGUCUCUUCUUGAAAAUAUCCAGAGAUGGAGCACCCACAACUUCUGGAGGGAAGCUGUUCCACUGGUUAAUUGCAGGAGGCCCAGGUAAAAAACAAUGCUUAUAGUUCUCUAGUUUGAGAGUGCAAAUGAACAAGAAAGGAAUAGCAUCAAUGAUGUCAUCAUCCAACCCAUAUCUUGUCAUCUUUUCUUCAGGAUAUGACACCAAAGUAGAAACAGUUUAAAGUUCUGGGAAGAGAAGCAGGAAUAAGAUGAUCCUCAAAUAUCUGACACAAAAAUGAAAGCCGUCAUCUCUUCUUUCUUGUUCCAGAGAACAGCAUGUGGCGUAACGGAUUUAAGUUAGUGGACUUGGAAGUCCUGGGUAUGGAAGCCCUUCCCAAAAAUUCCAGAUAUUUGAAUCUGGAUCUCUGCAUGGUGCAGCGGAGGAAACCUGAUGAUCAAAAUAAUUCUAUAUUUUAAACAUUUCAAGAUUUUCCAUUUUGUUUCUGCAAAAGAGUGAUAACGGCUGAAGUUGCUAAUGGAAGAACUGACUGUACUUAGGCCAGACAAAUCUGUUGCACACUUAUUGAGCAGAUAUCUCUGACUCAAGGCUGGGAAAAGAACGUGGAUGUGGAAAAAGUGGAGGAAAUAACACAGAAUUUAAACCUGAGAGCAGGCAUGCAGUUAUAAGCUUAAUUUCUGGGUUCUGCAGUUGGCAGAUUUUCUGCAUAUAAAAAUCUGCUGACUUAAAAUAAAAUAAAACAAGAAAUAAGACGGAUUCCUCUUUUCAAAAGCAAUGUUGGAACCAAUUAUGGGUUUCAGCGAAUCCUAGGGCUGUAGAGCUGGAAGGCACCAGAGGGAUCAUGUAGUGUGCAGAAAAAUCCAUUUGUAGCAUCGUCAAGAUGUAGCUGCCCAAUACCUCCAGGGAUGGAGAAUGCACAACUUCCAAGGGAGACAAUUCUACUGGUGAUCAGACUUUUCCAUCAGGAAGUUUUCCCUAUACAGUAUUUGAAUGAAAUCUUAUACCUCUUACUUCUGGUGCCGGUAUCUCUGGGCCUGGAAAAUAAUUCUUACCAUUUUCGUGGUAGCUUCCUUUGAAGUGCCUGAACCCUAGUAUCCGCUCUCCCCACUCCCCUCUUUUCUCUAGAUUGAGUAUCUUCAAUUCCUUCAGACUAUCCUGAAAGGGCAGGUCCUGUUUCACCUUCCUCGCCUUUUCUAAACCCAUUCAAGCAUGCCAAAAUCCUUCUGGAAAUGUGCUGCCCCAAAUCAUGCUCCAGGCGUGGUCUCCCCAGAGCAGAGGGGAUGGGAAGAAGGACUUGGGGCAUUUUUGCUAGUGAUUCUUCUAACACAGCCCAAAACUGCAUCCGCCCUUCUAGUGCUAUCUCCCACUACCGAGCCACGUUCAGCUGGUUGUCGUAGUCCACACCCAAGCCUCCCUCUUCUGUUGUGCGUCCCAAAAUAUAAUUCCUUAAAUGUGUUGAAGCAAGUCUUGAUCUUCUCAAUCUGUAGUCUAAAUUAGACUACAUUCUGUCAUCAUCGGUGUUGGCCAGAUCUCCUAAUUUUGUGUUGCCUGCAAAUCUGGCAAGCAGCCUCUUAUUUGGGUCAUUAGCAACCUGUUGCAACCCACGGCCACAAGAUGGAUUCCUUUUGGUCAGUGCUCUUAACAUUAUGCAGAGGCAGCUGUUUAAUGCUGCUCCCUUUAGCCAGCUGGUUGUAGAUUUCUCAAAACAAGUCCUGGCAGGCUAGCUUUGGACUCAUCUGCACAAGCUUCUUGCUCUGGUGUGAAGAUACUUGACAAACCUUCAGACGCUUGUGGUUACAGUAACAUCUCACAACCAGUCAAUUUCUACAAACAAUCGCUUCAUCCUUUUAGGACGUCUUAAUCACUCAAACAAUUAAAGUUGUGGCAGGGGAACUUUAUUACUUUCAUUACUUUUUCCCCCCUUUUCUGUUCCCAGGCGAUCAUGAGCACCAAUAAAAGCAGACACCUUCCUAACAGUGUGCUCCCAUUAUGUACUGGAGAAUGACAACCAAGGGGUAAUAGAGAUAGUGAGUCCUGUCAACAAUAACAAGACAGUCCUUAUGUACAGAAAAGGCCCAUUCCCUGUCAAACAACAAUAAUAAAAGACAAGCCACCCCAGCAAACAAGCUAGCUGACACUUAUCUACGGGGAAGGUGGUGUCCACAAGUAACAGGAACAGAACUAACACACACCCAACAAAAAUAGAAAGCACUGAAGCAGAAGGGGGGGGGAACACAGUGAAUCAUUGAAGGCACAUGCAGUGAUACCUAUAACAAUAGUGACACCAACAUGUGCAGUCAGAACAUAGAUAUCCACUGGAAAUCUACUACCACUAUGUCCCAUCCAGUGUUGCAUCCAUCCCACACAGGAUGACAUUCAACAAUGAAAUCAACAACAAUAAUCAAUAAUACAACCGUCAU